Molecule: ribosomal RNA, 479 nt
Filed under: Hymenoscyphus fraxineus
Lineage: Eukaryota; Fungi; Ascomycota; Leotiomycetes; Helotiales; Helotiaceae
Description: eukaryotic LSU rRNA
Rfam family: 5.8S ribosomal RNA (bases 151-304)
Source: RNAcentral
CUGCCCUCACGGGUAGAAACCCCACCCUUGUGUAUAUUAUAUUGUUGCUUUAGCAGGUCGCCCUCUGGGCGUCGGCCUCGGCUGACUGUGCCUGCUAGAGGACCCUAAAUUUUGAAAUACAGUGUCGUCUGAGUACUAUUUAAUAGUUAAAACUUUCAACAACGGAUCUCUUGGUUCUGGCAUCGAUGAAGAACGCAGCGAAAUGCGAUAAGUAAUGUGAAUUGCAGAAUUCAGUGAAUCAUCGAAUCUUUGAACGCACAUUGCGCCCCUUGGUAUUCCGGGGGGCAUGCCUGUUCGAGCGUCAUUUAGACCAACUCCCGCUCCGGCGGGGUCUUGGGCUGCGCCUUUGGGCGGGCCUUAAAACCAGUGGCGGUGCCCUAAGGCUCUACGCGUAGUAAUUCUUCUCGCGAUAGGGUCCUUGCGGUGUCUUGCCAGCAACCCCCAACUCUCUAGGGUUGACCUCGGAUCAGGUAGGGAUA